RNAcentral lists this long non-coding RNA (1221 nucleotides) under Dasypus novemcinctus (nine-banded armadillo). RNAcentral's name for it is "lncRNA (ENSDNOG00000051029.1)". Lineage: Eukaryota; Metazoa; Chordata; Mammalia; Cingulata; Dasypodidae. The record is from RNAcentral.
UUGCGGAAGGUUGGUUUGCAAACUUCAUCAGAGAGAGACCCACCUGCUGCCCGCGGGGCCCUGUGAGCCAAUGCGUGAGGGCGCGCGGGCUCGAGUCAGCGAAACGCACGGCGCAGCCGCCACCACCAAACCGACAUGUUGGAGCCAGCGCCGCCGCCUCCUUCCCUGCACCCUCCGACCAGGACUGAGAGGGGGCCGCCACUCCUCCGCCUCAGCGCCCGCCGCCCGCCCCGCCUGGGCCGCAGCCUCUUCCGCCCCAGCCCCGGUCCCAGCCCCUGCCCCAGCCCCAGCCCCGCCGCUCGCCGCCUGCCCGCUCUCCAGGCCCAGCCGGUUCCCCAGGCCCGGCGGGUUCCCCCGCCCCGCUCCUCCGCCCCGCUCCACCUCGGGCCCGCAGCGGCCGCCGCGCGAACAUGGACACCACCAGCGCCUUCGCCCGGGAGGAGCUGUGAAUUACAGAGUGUGGUGAAAGCAACCUCAUUAAGACCUUGAUGAAUGCCUUCUCUGUCCACAUUUUGCUUUGCUCACAUCAUACUUGGCUAGUUGUGAGUGAAAAUCAGGUGUAAGACAGUUAUCAGCUGAGCAAUUGACAAUGCAACGGCAGGUGAGUAAAGAAUUCUUUAACUGAUAAUUGUACCUCUGUGCCAUCAGAUGGUCAUGUUUCUCCUAUUGGUGUGGAUAUUCCAAUGCAUCCAGGAUUUAUCAAAGAUCUCAGCUUCACUUAAAUUCCUACAGUACUCUUCAAUAAGUAUGAUAAAUUAGGGACUCAUCUAUAAGUAAUCUCCUUUCAAAAAUUACAACAGUUUGUCCUAGCCUCCAUUAAGUCUGUGUAUUCUCUAAAGUCAUGAGAGAUGUUUAAUUUUCUCACCCAACCCAUGGCAUCAUUGGAGAAAUAAUGCACUCAUGGAUCAUGUUAGUGCUUGAAAUUGGCUUAAGCAUGCAGUGAACAGAUGGCAUAGAGGAGAGUAAGAAUAGAAGUUUAAAGUCAGUAGCAAGACUGAGAUUUUAGCAGGUGCAUUCAGUCAGUCCACUGUUACAGGUCCUGGAGUAUUGAGUUCUACAUUGUUGCCAGAAGGAAAUAAGAAAUCAUUUACUUUCCUCACUUUUAAUUUUCUUAAUAUGUUGUUGGAGUAUAUUUUUACAUUGUGAAGUAAUCAAAAGAAAACUAAAAUAUUCCUUACAGUUGUUCCCUACAGCCCAAUUUCAAAGUUUGUAGAUCAACUU